This 957-nucleotide long non-coding RNA is filed under the name Lathyrus oleraceus (garden pea). Its description in RNAcentral is "Pisum sativum (pea) long non-coding RNA (PSAT_LNC024305)". Lineage: Eukaryota; Viridiplantae; Streptophyta; Magnoliopsida; Fabales; Fabaceae. The record is from RNAcentral.
ACAAGUAUAUAAUCAAAUCAAAUAAUCAAAGAAUGAAAUAAUGAAACAAUAAACAAUGUAUGAGUGUAAGUGUAAGGGAACCGGCUCAUUGUAAGAAAGCCCAAGAGUAAGCUAUGUGAGGUUGAUGGCGAUGCUUAAAAAGCAAUCGACUUACAAGGGUGUAAAAAAUGGGCUCGAUAUUAAACCGAGAAAAGUAUGAUUUUUAUAGUUUGAAAAAAUGGUUUUUGAACUAAAUUCAAAUACAAUAACUAUGCAUUAUUAACAAAUGAAAUUAUAAGUAUAAUAAACGUAAAAAGAAGAUAUUAACAAAAUACUAAGAGGAUAAAAAAUGCUAAAGGAAGAUAAAAUCAAAUAAUAAGCAAAAAGUACCUCACAUGAGUAUCGAACCCUCUCCCCCUAAUAUUAUGCAACUAAACUCUCUCCACUAGGCCACUCAAUACUAUCUGCUAUUGAGAUACUACCCUAAAUAUAUGAACCGGGCUAAAGAUUUAAAAUAAAAAAAACAAAACAAACAUUUUUAUGGUUUUGUAUUAUCUCUGGAAAAAAACAAAUUAAAUUAAAAAAAUAAAUAAUAAAAAAAGAAAUUAAUUAAAAAAAGAAAACAGAAAAAGAAAUGGGAACGGGGAAGAGAACACAGAGGAGUUCGUCUUCCCCCCUCUCUCUCGCAUCUUACGAGUUCUCUGUCAAACUCAGAAAAUCUCUCUCUCUCGACCCUCAUCGUCCUCAACCUUUUCUCACCUCUCACAACCUCUCAUUCACUCACCUCUCACGACCUCGUCAAUCUUAACCCUCGUCACCCUCGAUGAAUGUCUCUCAAAAUCUCGAACUCAAUCAAGUAAUAAAGCAAUGGCUGAACAAAAACUAACCUUCGGCGGUGACAACGGCAACGAUGAAGCUCACAGGUUUGUCUUUGAUUUGGUGAUUAGGGUUUGUCAAUUGUUCCGCCUCUGAUUUUCG